UUACGACCAUAUCACGUUGAAACACAGAUUCCCGUACGAUCACCGAAGUUAAGCAACUUUGAGACUGGUCAGUACCUAGAUGAGUAACCGCAUAGGAAUACCAGGUGGC
Non-coding RNA from Acanthosepion pharaonis, 109 nucleotides. NCBI's taxonomy places the organism in Eukaryota, Metazoa, Mollusca, Cephalopoda, Sepiida, Sepiidae. The record is from the annotation of a GenBank genome assembly.